This 848-nucleotide ribosomal RNA is filed under the name Bacillus licheniformis. RNAcentral describes it as "bacterial SSU rRNA". It matches the Rfam family "Bacterial small subunit ribosomal RNA", at positions 56 to 890 of the family's 1533-position model. Lineage: Bacteria; Bacillati; Bacillota; Bacilli; Caryophanales; Bacillaceae. The record is from RNAcentral.
UGCAAGAUCGAGCGGACCGACGGGAGCUUGCUCCCUUAGGUCAGCGGCGGACGGGUGAGUAACACGUGGGUAACCUGCCUGUAAGACUGGGAUAACUCCGGGAAACCGGGGCUAAUACCGGAUGCUUGAUUGAACCGCAUGGUUCAAUUAUAAAAGGUGGCUUUCAGCUACCACUUGCAGAUGGACCCGCGGCGCAUUAGCUAGUUGGUGAGGUAACGGCUCACCAAGGCGACGAUGCGUAGCCGACCUGAGAGGGUGAUCGGCCACACUGGGACUGAGACACGGCCCAGACUCCUACGGGAGGCAGCAGUAGGGAAUCUUCCGCAAUGGACGAAAGUCUGACGGAGCAACGCCGCGUGAGUGAUGAAGGUUUUCGGAUCGUAAAACUCUGUUGUUAGGGAAGAACAAGUACCGUUCGAAUAGGGCGGUACCUUGACGGUACCUAACCAAAAAGCCACGGCUAACUACGUGCCAGCAGCCGCGGUAAUACGUAGGUGGCAAGCGUUGUCCGGAAUUAUUGGGCGUAAAGCGCGCGCAGGCGGUUUCUUAAGUCUGAUGUGAAAGCCCCCGGCUCAACCGGGGAGGGUCAUUGGAAACUGGGGAACUUGAGUGCAGAAGAAGAGAGUGGAAUUCCACGUGUAGCGGUGAAAUGCGUAGAGAUGUGGAGGAACACCAGUGGCGAAAGCGACUCUCUGGUCUGUAACUGACGCUGAGCGCGAAAGCGUGGGGAGCGAACAGGAUUAGAUACCCUGGGUAGUCCACGCCGUAAACGAUGAGUGCUAGUGUUAGAGGGUUCCGCCCUUUAGUGCUGCAGCAACGCAUAGCACUCCGCCUGGGAGUACGUCGCA